RNAcentral lists this transfer RNA (72 nucleotides) under Candidatus Doudnaibacteriota bacterium. RNAcentral describes it as "Candidatus Doudnabacteria bacterium tRNA-Glu". It matches the Rfam family "tRNA". From Rfam's summary of the family: Transfer RNA (tRNA) molecules are approximately 80 nucleotides in length. Their secondary structure includes four short double-helical elements and three loops (D, anti-codon, and T loops). Further hydrogen bonds mediate the characteristic L-shaped molecular structure. tRNAs have two regions of fundamental functional importance: the anti-codon, which is responsible for specific mRNA codon recognition, and the 3' end, to which the tRNAs corresponding amino acid is attached (by aminoacyl-tRNA synthetases). tRNAs cope with the degeneracy of the genetic code in two manners: having more than one tRNA (with a specific anti-codon) for a particular amino acid; and 'wobble' base-pairing, i.e. permitting non-standard base-pairing at the 3rd anti-codon position. Lineage: Bacteria; Candidatus Doudnaibacteriota. The record is from RNAcentral.
GGCCCCAUCGUCUAACGGUUAGGACAUCACAUUCUCAAUGUGGUAAUCGGAGUUCGAUUCUCCGUGGGGUCA